CAAGUAGCAUGCCACUAGGUAAGUUUGUUGAAAAUACAUCCUAAUAUUUAUGUAUGAAUUAUUCUACUCCUUUUACUCCUUUGAUUGUCUUUUCUACCAUUGAGGCAAGAUUUGGAACUACUACAUAUAUCGAUUGCUUAUGUCAUAUUUGUUUCUUCAUAAUGGUCAUUCCUAUGAGUAAGCUCUUAGCCGUAGAUCAUUUUGCUAUUUUACUCAAUAUAAAGGUAUGAAGAAUCACCAUACAUUCUCCAUCUUUGAAAGAGAUUGUCUUUACUAGCCAAUCGACUUAUUUAUUCUUCACUUCUAGCCAUAGCAUAUCAAGGAUAAUAUCAUAUCUAAGCUUUGUUACU
RNAcentral lists this long non-coding RNA (350 nucleotides) under Physcomitrium patens. RNAcentral describes it as "long non-coding RNA (PPAT_LNC005908)". The record is from RNAcentral. Lineage: Eukaryota; Viridiplantae; Streptophyta; Bryopsida; Funariales; Funariaceae.